Molecule: ribosomal RNA, 440 nt
Filed under: uncultured bacterium
Lineage: Bacteria
Description: partial 16S ribosomal RNA
Rfam family: Bacterial small subunit ribosomal RNA
Source: RNAcentral
CCUACGGGGUGCUGCAGUAGGGAAUAUUGCUCAAUGGGGGAAACCCUGAAGCAGCAACGCAGCGUGGAGGAUGAAGGUUUUAGGAUUGUAAACUCCUUUUGUUAGAGAAGAUAAUGACGGUAUCUAACGAAUAAUCACCGGCUAACUUCGGUCCAGCAGCCGCGGUAAUACGGAGGGUGCAAGCGUUACUCGGAAUCACUGGGCGUAAAGAGCGCGUAGGCGGGAUAGCAAGUCAGAUGUGAAAUCCUAUGGCUUAACCAUAGAACUGCAGUUGAAACUGGUAUGCUAGAGUAUGGGCGAGGUAGGUGGAAUUCGUGGUGUAGGGGUAAAAUGCUUAGAGAUCAAGAGGAAUACUCAUUGCGAAGGCGACCUGCUAGAACGUAACUGACGCUGAUGCGCGAAAGCGUGGGGAGCGAACAGGAUUAGAUACCCCGGUAGUC